AUUGAACGCUGGCGGCAGGCCUAACACACGCAAGUCGGACGGUAGCACAGAGGAGCUUGCUCCUCGGGUGACGAGUGGCGGACGGGUGAGUAAUGUCUGGGGAUCUGCCCGAUAGAGAGGGAUAACCACUGGAAACGGUGGCUAAUACCGCAUAACGUCGCAAGACCAAAGAGGGGGACCUUCGGGCCUCUCACUAUCGGAUGAACCCAGAUGGGAUUAGCUAGUCGGCGGGGUAACGGCCCACCUAGGCGACGAUCCCUAGCUGGUCUGAGAGGAUGACCAGCCACACUGGAACUGAGACACGGUCCAGACUCCUACGGGAGGCAGCAGUGGGGAAUAUUGCACAAUGGGCGCAAGCCUGAUGCAGCCAUGCCGCGUGUAUGAAGAAGGCCUUCGGGUUGUAAAGUACUUUCAGCGGGGAGGAAGGCGAUGUGGUUAAUAACCGCGUCGAUUGACGUUACCCGCAGAAGAAGCACCGGCUAACUCCGUGCCAGCAGCCGCAGUAA
Molecule: ribosomal RNA, 506 nt
Filed under: uncultured bacterium
Lineage: Bacteria
Description: partial 16S ribosomal RNA
Rfam family: Bacterial small subunit ribosomal RNA
Source: RNAcentral